Molecule: ribosomal RNA, 502 nt
Filed under: uncultured bacterium
Lineage: Bacteria
Description: partial 16S ribosomal RNA
Rfam family: Bacterial small subunit ribosomal RNA
Source: RNAcentral
GACGAACGCUGGCGGCGUGCCUAAUACAUGCAAGUCGAACGAACCGCGACUAGGUGCUUGCACUUGGUCAAGGUGAGUGGCGAACGGGUGAGUAACACGUGGGUAACCUACCUCAUAGUGGGGGAUAACAGUCGGAAACGACUGCUAAUACCGCAUAGGACAUAGGAUCACAUGAUCCAGUGAGGAAAGGUGGCGCAAGCUAUCGCUAAGAGAUGGACCCGCGGUGCAUUAGCUAGUUGGUAGGGUAAAGGCCUACCAAGGCGAUGAUGCAUAGCCGACCUGAGAGGGUGAUCGGCCACAUUGGAACUGAGACACGGCCCAAACUCCUACGGGAGGCAGCAGUAGGGAAUCUUCCGCAAUGGACGCAAGUCUGACGGAGCAACGCCGCGUGAGUGAAGAAGGUCUUCGGAUCGUAAAGCUCUGUUGUUAGAGAAGAACAGCGCAUAGAGUAACUGUUAUGCGUGUGACGGUAUCUAACCAGAAAGCCACGGCUAACUACGUG